UGAGUUACAAGGGCGACAGAACACCUGCUUUGAAUACAGAAGGACCUGGGAUCAAUCCCCAGCAUCUCAG
Molecule: non-coding RNA, 70 nt
Organism: Podarcis lilfordi (Lilford's wall lizard)
Lineage: Eukaryota; Metazoa; Chordata; Lepidosauria; Squamata; Lacertidae
Source: the annotation of a GenBank genome assembly